AAGAAGAGCUCUCAUACAACACGCCAAUGAGGAAAAAUGAUGCCAAAAAUGGUUUCGUUAGGGUAUUAAAACUACGACUUGGUCAACAAAAAACGAAUUCCAGUAUGCAAAACAUGCAGUUCGUUCGAAGAUUACAGACGGAAACGCACCAACUUCGUUCGACAUUUGAAGAUGCACAAAGAAGGAAUCGCUGACCUUAGAGAUGACGCCGUUUUCAUCCGUCUGAAUGAGGAUGUUGCUGCACCACAGGGUCCCGCAGCCGCGACCCCAGCAGACCCGACUCAAGCCAAAACGCUGCACCGAGUACUCGCAGGACAGGGAAGCCACGCCCCCUUCUGUCACUCUGAAACAGGAGGCCGGAACCAAACGGCUACCUGACCAGGCCGCAAAGUUUACCAAAAUAGUGCAUGCCAAUGUACAGUAGGUUUACAUGUCGACUUUGAGUACAUAGUGAUGUCAUCAGUCGGCGUCUCACCUGACAGGAGGAGGAACAUGGCGGCGAAGGUCUGAGGGGUACGAUGGCAGCGAGGCAACGUCGAGGCCAUCCUGAUGUGUGUGUGGUCAUAAAUGACGCACGCCGACACACACCGACGCACACUGGCCCGCGCUCCGUGUGUGUGUGCGUGUGUGUGUGUGUGUGUGUGUGUGUGUGUGUGUGUGUGUGUGUGUGUGUGUGUGUGUGUGUGUGUGUGUGUGUGUGUGACAGACAAUAAUAAAGACUUCAUUGAUUCCA
Long non-coding RNA from Nerophis ophidion (straightnose pipefish), 733 nucleotides. RefSeq lists it as uncharacterized. The record is from RefSeq and is a predicted model, not a curated record. NCBI's taxonomy places the organism in Eukaryota, Metazoa, Chordata, Actinopteri, Syngnathiformes, Syngnathidae. The transcript has 2 exons.